AAGCGGUGGAUUAUGUGGUUUAAUUCGAUGAUACGCGAGGAACCUUACCAAGGCUUAAAUGGGAAAUGACAGGCUUAGAAAUAGGCUUUUCUUCGGACAUUUUUCAAGGUGCUGCAUGGUUGUCGUCAGCUCGUGCCGUGAGGUGUUAGGUUAAGUCCUGCAACGAGCGCAACCCCUGUCACUAGUUGCCAUCAUUAAGUUGGGGACUCUAGUGAGACUGCCUACGCAAGUAGAGAGGAAGGUGGGGAUGACGUCAAAUCAUCACGGCCCUUACGCCUUGGGCCACACACGUAAUACAAUGGCCGGUACAGAGGGCAGCUACACUGCGAAGUGAUGCAAAUCUCGAAAGCCGGUCUCAGUUCGGAUUGGAGUCUGCAACUCGACUCUAUGAAGCUGGAAUCGCUAGUAAUCGCGCAUCAGCCAUGGCGCGGUGAAUACGUUCCCGGGCCUUGUACACACCGCCCGUCAAGC
RNAcentral lists this ribosomal RNA (471 nucleotides) under Chryseobacterium gleum. Its description in RNAcentral is "bacterial SSU rRNA". It matches the Rfam family "Bacterial small subunit ribosomal RNA", at positions 927 to 1402 of the family's 1533-position model. Lineage: Bacteria; Pseudomonadati; Bacteroidota; Flavobacteriia; Flavobacteriales; Weeksellaceae. The record is from RNAcentral.